CCUCUGAGGCUACAGAAGCUCAGUGUGCGGCUAUGGUGAUGCCUGUAGCGGGCUCUGUAACACUUGAUGAUGUUCUGAAAGUGGUAGCAGAGCAGGGCAAAGCCAUAGGGGAGUUAACUCAAGCUGUUCAGAGGCUGACUCUACAAUACCCUAAGCUUGAGUCUGUAAAGUUUCCUAAGUCUACAAUGCAGCCUAGAUUUUCUGAUGAUAGCAAACUAUUUGUUUCAAAUGUGAUGGUGUCGGGCACAUUGCAAGAAACUGUGUCAGAAAAAACAUCAACAUCGUGAUCGGUUACUCAAACAUGCUGCGGGGAAGUGUCCCGUGGGUUGACCUGAAAAUUGGAGGUGUGAUGGUGUCAUGUCUGCUUGAUACCGGAAGCCAGGUCAGUACAAUUACCAAACACUUCUUUAAAGAGCACUUGGCAGGUGAAUGUAAGGAUAUGCUUUCUACAUCUGGUUGGUUGAGAAUUACUGCUGCUAAUGGAUUAAGCAUCCCAUAUUUGGGUUAUCUCGAACUACCAGUUGAAACUAUGGGUAUCACCCUGCCUGAGUGUGGGUUCCUGGUGGUAACAGAUGUACGAAAUUCGUCUGCUGUGCCAGCGCUCAUCGGCAUGAACAUUAUAAGUAGAUGUAGGCAACUAGUGCACGCUGAGUUUGACACCACCCUGGGUGGGGAAUUAGUCAGACUGGAGAGAAGUUUUCAAGCAACUGCAAAGUGUCAGUCAAGCUAAGAAACAGAUUGUUGCACAUAUCGCUGGGAAGGAGACAGUGCAUAUUUGUGUUGUUAUGUGAUAUAAUUAAUGUGUGCGGGCUCCUUUAAGAGCGUUACUUAAUGAUGAUGUCAUCAGCGUCAGACUAGUUCUAGUCGGUUGUUUAUGGGAAGCCAUCAAGCCCUCAUGGCAGCUCUGUCAAUCCUAAUUCAUCUGCUACAUUUCGUGUUCUUUCGAAGGCAUUGUUGGGCUUCAAAUCAUCCGCAGCUGAUACCAAUUAGCUUACCUGCUAUACGGUGUGCCGCAGAUAUAAAACAGCAGAGAGAGACAGCUCGAGGAGAGUUUUUCCUUAUACGCUAUCCCAGCACUGUGGUUGUUGUAUUUGCUAUUAAGCAAUUGGUGAACUGUAAACAUGUGUGGUUACAACGACGUUACUGUUGAUGUGCUAGUCUGCCUUUGUCAACCUGUGUUGCAAGAUGAGCGCCGAUUUAUUUGGGUUUAUACCCCUUCUAUAUUUUUCACCUGUUUUUCUUUAGUCAGGGUGAGAGGUGAGAAUAUUGUUUUUAAUUAUGGGCAGGGAAGUUACUUUGUUAACCUUAAGUAGGUUUCUGUUUUGUUUGUUGUUUUCUGCAUUUGCUCUCUCCUGACUCCUUGGUUGUUUAGGCUUAUUUAUUCUGGCAUUUGUAUAUAACUUGUAUUUAUUGGCUUUUGUUGAGCCCUGAACAAUAAACUCAAUUUAAGAAU
This is a long non-coding RNA of Tachysurus fulvidraco (yellow catfish), 1453 nucleotides long. RefSeq lists it as uncharacterized. The transcript has 2 exons. Lineage: Eukaryota; Metazoa; Chordata; Actinopteri; Siluriformes; Bagridae. The record is from RefSeq and is a predicted model, not a curated record.